CACGUAGGGCGCAAGCGUUGUCCGGAUUUACUGGGCGUAAAGAGCGCGUAGGCGGAGAUCUAAGCGUGGCCUGAAAGCCCCCGGCUCAACCGGGGAAGGUGGCUGCGAACUGGGUUUCUUGAGGACGAUAGAGGAGAGUGGAAUUCCUGGUGUAGCGGUGAAAUGCGUAGAUAUCAGGAGGAACACCCGAGGCGAAGGCGGCUCUCUGGGUCGUACCUGACGCUGAGGCGCGAAAGCGUGGGGAGCGAACGGG
This 253-nucleotide ribosomal RNA is filed under the name uncultured bacterium. Its description in RNAcentral is "partial 16S ribosomal RNA". It matches the Rfam family "Bacterial small subunit ribosomal RNA", at positions 524 to 776 of the family's 1533-position model. The record is from RNAcentral.